Molecule: ribosomal RNA, 227 nt
Filed under: uncultured bacterium
Lineage: Bacteria
Description: partial 16S ribosomal RNA
Rfam family: Bacterial small subunit ribosomal RNA
Source: RNAcentral
AUAAUCUGCCCAGUAAUCCGGGAUAACAUCUCGAAAGAGAUGCUAAUACCUGAUAAGCCCACGAUCUCUUCGGAGAACGCGGGAAAAGGUGGGGACCUUCGGGCCUGCCGUUACUGGAUGAGUCCGCGGCCCAUUAGCUAGUUGGUAGGGUAAUGGCCUACCAAGGCUACGAUGGGUAGCUGGUCUGAGAGGAUGAUCAGCCACACUGGAACUGAGACACGGCCCAG